AGCGGGAUGCCUUACACAUGCAAGUCGAACGGCAGCACGGACUUCGGUCUGGUGGCGAGUGGCGAACGGGUGAGUAAUGUAUCGGAACGUGCCUAGUAGCGGGGGAUAACUACGCGAUAGCGUAGCUAAUACCGCAUACGCCCUACGGGGGAAAGCAGGGGAUCGCAAGACCUUGCACUAUUAGAGCGGCCGAUAUCGGAUUAGCUAGUUGGUGGGGUAACGGCUCACCAAGGCGACGAUCCGUAGCUGGUUUGAGAGGACGACCAGCCACACUGGGACUGAGACACGGUCCAGACUCCUACGGGAGGCAGCAGUGGGGAAUAUUGGACAAUGGGCGCAAGCCUGAUCCAGCCAUACCGCGUGGGUGAAGAAGGCCUUCGGGUUGUAAAGCCCUUUUGUUGGGAAAGAAAAGCAUUCGGUUAAUACCCGGGUGUUCUGACGGUACCCAAAGAAUAAGCCACCGGCUAACUUCGUGCCAGCAGCCGCGGUAAUACGAAGGGUGCAAGCGUUACUCGGAAUUACUGGGGCGUAAAGCGUGCGUAGGUGGUGGUUUAAGUCCGUUGUGAAAAGCCCUGGGCUCAACCUGGGAAUUGCAGUGGAUACUGGAUCACUAGAGUGUGGUAGAGGAUAGUGGAAUUUCCGGUGUAGCAGUGAAAUGCGUAGAGAUCGGAAGGAACAUCUGUGGCGAAGGCGACUAUCUGGGCCAACACUGACACUGAGGCACGAAAGCGUGGGGAGCAAACAGGAUUAGAUACCCUGGUAGUCCACGCCCUAAACGAUGUCAACUAGCUGUUGGGGCCUUCGGGCCUUGGUAGCGCAGCUAACGCGUGAAGUUGACCGCCUGGGGAGUACGGUCGCAAGAUUAAAACUCAAAGGAAUUGACGGGGACCCGCACAAGCGGUGGAUGAUGUGGAUUAAUUCGAUGCAACGCGAAAAACCUUACCUACCCUUGACAUGUCUGGAAUGCCGAAGAGAUUUGGCAGUGCUCGCAAGAGAACCGGAACACAGGUGCUGCAUGGCUGUCGUCAGCUCGUGUCGUGAGAUGUUGGGUUAAGUCCCGCAACGAGCGCAACCCUUGUCAUUAGUUGCUACGAAAGGGCACUCUAAUGAGACUGCCGGUGACAAACCGGAGGAAGGUGGGGAUGACGUCAAGUCCUCAUGGCCCUUAUGGGUAGGGCUUCACACGUCAUACAAUGGUCGGGACAGAGGGUCGCCAACCCGCGAGGGGGAGCCAAUCCCAGAAACCCGAUCGUAGUCCGGAUCGCAGUCUGCAACUCGACUGCGUGAAGUCGGAAUCGCUAGUAAUCGCGGAUCAGCAUGUCGCGGUG
Molecule: ribosomal RNA, 1328 nt
Filed under: uncultured bacterium
Lineage: Bacteria
Description: partial 16S ribosomal RNA
Rfam family: Bacterial small subunit ribosomal RNA
Source: RNAcentral